AUUGAACGCUGGCGGCAUGCCUUACACAUGCAAGUCGAACGGUAACAGGUCUUCGGAUGCUGACGAGUGGCGAACGGGUGAGUAAUACAUCGGAACGUGCCCGAUCGUGGGGGAUAACGCAGCGAAAGCUGUGCUAAUACCGCAUACGAUCUACGGAUGAAAGCGGGGGAUCGCAAGACCUCGCGCGGACGGAGCGGCCGAUGGCAGGAUUAGGUAGUUGGUGGGAUAAAAGCUUACCAAGCCGACGAUCUGUAGCUGGUCUGAGAGGACGACCAGCCACACUGGGACUGAGACACGGCCCAGACUCCUACGGGAGGCAGCAGUGGGGAAUUUUGGACAAUGGGGGAAACCCUGAUCCAGCCAUGCCGCGUGAGUGAAGAAGGCCU
Molecule: ribosomal RNA, 386 nt
Filed under: uncultured bacterium
Lineage: Bacteria
Description: bacterial SSU rRNA
Rfam family: Bacterial small subunit ribosomal RNA
Source: RNAcentral